Molecule: long non-coding RNA, 1659 nt
Organism: Oncorhynchus tshawytscha (Chinook salmon)
Lineage: Eukaryota; Metazoa; Chordata; Actinopteri; Salmoniformes; Salmonidae
Source: Ensembl
GGAAAAAUGAGUUUUGAACGGUCAUCCAACUUGGAAUUACUAUUCGUAAACUCGGGCGUCAUGCCGCUUUCAAAACAAUUGAGAACUCUGGCUAAAAUUAGCUCGGACUGGGAAAAAUAAUUUUGAAUUCCAAGUCGGAACUCUUUCUCCGUCGUGAUUUGACCUAGUUUUUUUCCGAGUUCCCAGUUGUCUUGAAAGCGCCAUCGUCAUUAGAACUCCGACUUCUCUGACAUGAAGGUCACUGACGUCCCGAUCCUAAGAUUUCCCCCCCCAUUCUGAGCUCGUUUUUUCCGAAUCCCCAAUUCGCUUGAAUGCACCAAAAGUUUAUAUAGCGCAAAAGACUGGCCAGCCACAUGCUUGCUCAUUCGAUUAGUCUUGUGAUCGACCUGAAGACGCCUUUCUCAAUGUCGAAGUUAUGGCUUAGAAAUGCUUCAUUGGUGUUUAACGUUAGUUAUUGGUACACUGCUGCCACUUGAGUCUUGCAAUGCUCCUGAACUGGUCAUUAACUCCAAGUAGCUAAAUUGGUGUUGUGGAGGGUUGGGCCUUGCAGAACCAUGCACGUGGGGAACUGGAGAAACGUAAAACCAUUCCGGGGGUAAGUUUAUGUUUGGCGCGGAUGUUACUGAAUUAACUGCUAAUACGUAACUAACGUGGUCGAUUUUUGACAAUUUAUGGAUGUGAUCUAGUAAGACGAAGAUUCCUAAACUGUUAGCCAUCUGAUCCACGAACACGGAAAACCAGUUUACGCAAUGGAAAUUAGCAUGGGUAACUGUAGCCGAUUAAACGCAACUCCGCGCUUUAUGAUUGAGCUAAGGGGCGACUAGUGUUGACGAACUGGCGCUGCUCAUACGUUACAUAACAUGGAAGUUAACUACUGAUUUCGGCACCCAUAGAAUAUCCCGAAAUUACAGACAUGGUGUUUGUAAUUGCGGCCUGUUUGGGCGCUGAACUCGUUUUCUUUUUGUUGUUGUAAACGUCACUAUUGUGACGUCGGAGCUCCAGUCCGCCCAUAGUUGCAGCUCAACUCCAUCUUAAAUCGAGGCGUUUAGUUGGCUAAGUUAGCUAGUCCACACAUUUUUUUGAAAUGCAAGUCCUGUUAAGUCCUCAUGCAAUUAACCAAAUUGUACAUUAGUUCUAGAUUCGGGAGCCCACUCCUUCUGGACCUGGCCAGGGCGGUAUGAACUGGAGCAUACCCCAUUGACUGCACAUGGCUGGAGUGAUACCGCCCCAAUGAGUUGAUGACUAGAAGACUCACGGUGUUAAACCACCCCAAUGGGUUGAUGGCAAGUAGACUUAACCUGGUAAGGUGGUGUCCCUUUGAAUAACAUCCCUGCAAGUUCUCCCUGGACUGGACCUGUGGACGAUUCUCUUCCACGUGGCCGGAGUUUCCAAGACGGUCGGUCCUUUCUUCCUCUGGAAGUGAUCAACUGGAAGGAAUUGUGUUGUGUGGUAGCCCAUAUGGGACUCACCUGGGACAUGGAUACCUGAAGACCGAAGGCUCAACAUUGUUAAUAAAUAUCAUGAGCAGCAGUGGUUUCCUUUGUCUUUUCCAUGUGUGUUCUGCUUUGUUUGUGAGGUUUUGCUGAGUAAUGGUGUUUGUCUGUGACUAUAGCAAAGACGGUCAUUCUUUUUAACUUCAAUAAAUCGGUUUUAACCAAG